AGCUCAUACCGGGCAAUUGCUUCUCCCGAUGUAUCGGGAGGGGAGGAAAGUCCGAACUUCACAGAACAGAGUGCCGGGUAACACCCGGGAUUCCGAAUAAAAUCGGGAUACGGAAAGUGCCACAGAAAAUAUACAACUCCGGCUUUAAGUCGGGGUAAAGGUGAAAAGGCAGGGUAAGAGCCUACCGCAGCAAUGGUAACAUUGUUGGUCCCUUUGGGAUUCCGCUUUGCGGAACAAGGUAAACCCCACUCGAAGCAAGGUCAAGUAGGAAAAUCUUUCCGUCAGCUGACGGAACAAAGUUGUUCGCUUUGAAUGAUUUUCGGGUGGACCGCUAGAAUUCCGAAGUAAUUCGGAAACCAGACAAAUAAUUGCCAGGGUUGACUAAAUUAUUAUGCGUUCUUAGUAUUCCUUCGAGUCUUGGUGUCUUAGUGGCAAAUAGAUUCUUUUCAAACGAAAUCAGACUGUCUGCCACGGAGUCUCAAUCAGUCAAUUGACGGACACAAAGUUUUUACGAAGUAUAAUAUGGUCAAUCCGUACAGAAUUCGGCUUAUAGGUUUGAGCUUACU
Ignavibacteria bacterium is the source of this 566-nucleotide non-coding RNA. The record is from Rfam. NCBI's taxonomy places the organism in Bacteria, Pseudomonadati, Ignavibacteriota, Ignavibacteria.